Anguilla rostrata (American eel) is the source of this 774-nucleotide long non-coding RNA. RefSeq lists it as uncharacterized. The transcript has 2 exons. Lineage: Eukaryota; Metazoa; Chordata; Actinopteri; Anguilliformes; Anguillidae. The record is from RefSeq and is a predicted model, not a curated record.
GAGUGAGUGUGUGUGUGUGUGUGUGUGUGUGUGGAAGCACAUCCUGCACACCUUCAAGAGGUGAGAGAGAGAGAGUGUGUGUGUGUGUGUGUGUGCGUGUGUGUGUGGGAGCACAUCCUGCACACCUUCAAGAGGUGAGAGAGAGUGUGUGUGUGUGUGUGUGAGCACAUCCUGCACACCUUCAAGAGGUGAGAGAGUGUGUGUGUGUGUGUGUAUGUGUGUGGAAGCACAUCCUGCACACCUUCAAGAGGUUUCCAAAAAAUUAAUGGAGCAAGAGGAGCAGAUGGUGAAGACCCCCUCCCCUCCCCCCAAACACACACAGGACUGAGCAACUUACCUGUACCUGAGUGAACGUCGUACCCAACAGGAAUGACAGCACAUUUUAGAAUUAUUGUUGAAAUAUACAUCUUGAGGUUCUUUUAUCAGCCUGUGCUUAGUUGGAGAAGCUCAUAAGAGCAUUCUGAUAAGAUUAUUAUUAUUAUUAUUAUUAUUGUUUUGGAAAUUGGUUCCAGGCUGAAAAUUAUACUGUGUGUUAAAGUUGAAAACACCGAUCUUCUGCUGAGCAUAAGACACUCUGUUCAGGCAUGUAUUUUAUAUUUAAACUCUAUUCUAUUACUCUUACUUCACUGCUAUAGGAUAUAUUUAAGUGUAGAGUUGUAACAAUCGGUCAGUUUGGAGGCCAGGCUGUUCAGCCUCGUUUGGUGGGACAUUUGUCUGAAGCGGAUUACACAACCUGCUGUACAAGAAAAUAAUUAUCUAAACGGAAAAAAAUAA